Molecule: ribosomal RNA, 460 nt
Filed under: uncultured bacterium
Lineage: Bacteria
Description: partial 16S ribosomal RNA
Rfam family: Bacterial small subunit ribosomal RNA
Source: RNAcentral
CCUACGGGUGGCUGCAGUGAGGAAUAUUGGUCAAUGGCCGGAAGGCUGAACCAGCCAAGCAGCGUGAAGGAUGACGGUGCCAAGCAUUGUAAACUUCUUUUGUAAGGGGAUAAAAUCAGGCACGAGAGCCUGACCGUGGGUACCUGAAGAAUAAGCAUCGGCUAACUCCGUGCCAGCAGCCGCGGUAAUACGAAGGGUGCGAGCGUUGUUCGGAUUUACUGGGCGUAAAGGGAGCGUAGGCGGAUAUGUAAGUUAGCGGUGAAAUGUCGCGGCUCAACCCCGGAACUGCCGUUGUGACUAGGAGUCUAGAGUAAUGUAGAGGAGGGCGGAAUACGUGGUGUAGCGGUGAAAUGCUUAGAUAUUGGGUAGAACACCGGUUGCGAAGGCAGCUAUCUGGCCAGCAACUGACGCUGAGGCUCGAAAGCGUGGGUAUCAAACAGGAUUAGAUACCCGAGUAGUC